UUCCCAGGGUUGUAUUCCGAUUGCAAAGACAGAAUGUAACAGUGAAAAUGAAGGUUGGUAAAACUAGCUAACAGGAAACUCUGGCCUAAUUUGUUUUCAUUGUAUAUAUUCUUCAUACAUUCUAAUCCUAAAAGCUUAACUUUUUUUUUUAGUUUUUGUUUCGGUAAAAUUCUUCAGAGGAUCUGAGCUCGGUGUUGAAUGCCUCAGAGCAAUUGAGGACUGGGAUUUGAGCCAUGCUGAGAGUGCUUUUGCCAAAUGUCGACAAAGGGAUUUUGGGAUCUUCCUCCGAAGAUUCUGGUAGCAGCCACUGUUGAAUAUCAGAAAUAACGUGGAGGGCUGCUUUGAAAGAUCCUGCUCAAACUUGUAUGUAUAUGCAUAUAUAUAUGUGUGUGUAUUUACAUAUUCAUAUACACACCCCCACGUACAUGUAGCAUUUUGUUAUGUGCUUGUGUGUUUUCACCUGACAAAGGCAAUAGUUAGAUGA
RNAcentral lists this long non-coding RNA (484 nucleotides) under Struthio camelus australis. RNAcentral describes it as "lncRNA (ENSSCUG00000009086.1)". Lineage: Eukaryota; Metazoa; Chordata; Aves; Struthioniformes; Struthionidae. The record is from RNAcentral.